CAGAAGCCCGAGUGGUGGUCGUUUUUAUUGGGCCUAAAGCGUCCGUAGCCGGUCUAGUAAAUCCUUGGAUAAAUCGUACAGCUUAACUGUACGGCUCCCGGGGAGACUGCUAGACUUGGGACUGGGAGAGGUCGGAGGUACUCCAGGGGUAGGGGUGAAAUCUUGUAAUCCUUGGGGGACCACCAGUGGCGAAGGCGUCCGACUAGAACGGGUCCGACGGUAGGGGACGAAACCCUGGGGCGCGAACCGGAUUAGAUACCCGAGUAGUCC
Molecule: ribosomal RNA, 270 nt
Filed under: uncultured archaeon
Lineage: Archaea
Description: partial 16S ribosomal RNA
Rfam family: Archaeal small subunit ribosomal RNA
Source: RNAcentral